Molecule: ribosomal RNA, 482 nt
Filed under: uncultured bacterium
Lineage: Bacteria
Description: bacterial SSU rRNA
Rfam family: Bacterial small subunit ribosomal RNA
Source: RNAcentral
AUUGAACGCUGGCGGCAUGCCUUACACAUGCAAGUCGAACGGCAGCACGAGAGCAAUCCUGGUGGCGAGUGGCGAACGGGUGAGUAAUAUAUCGGAACGUGCCCAGUCGUGGGGGAUAACGUAGCGAAAGCUACGCUAAUACCGCAUACGAUCUAUGGAUGAAAGCGGGGGAUCGCAAGACCUCGCGCGAUUGGAGCGGCCGAUAUCAGAUUAGGUAGUUGGUGAGGUAAAGGCUCACCAAGCCGACGAUCUGUAGCUGGUCUGAGAGGACGACCAGCCACACUGGGACUGAGACACGGCCCAGACUCCUACGGGAGGCAGCAGUGGGAAUUUUGGACAAUGGGCGCAAGCCUGAUCCAGCAAUGCCGCGUGCAGGAUGAAGGCCUUCGGGUUGUAAACUGCUUUGUACGGAACGAAACGGUGAGCUCUAAUACAGUUUGCUAAUGACGGUACCGUAAGAAUAAGCACCGGCUAACUACGUG